Molecule: long non-coding RNA, 183 nt
Organism: Apis dorsata (giant honeybee)
Lineage: Eukaryota; Metazoa; Arthropoda; Insecta; Hymenoptera; Apidae
Exons: 2
Source: RefSeq, a predicted model, not a curated record
AAAUUGCGAUAAUUGCAAAUAUUUUUAGACAUAAAUAUAGAAAUAAAAGUUAAAUAAGAGAUGAUAGUAAUUAUAAAUUAUGCUGAAUAAAAUUAAAAUAAAAUUAAAAAUAUUUGAAGAGUUACCAAUGCACCAACGCAAACACAAAUAGCAGAAAUAAUCACGAUCGUUUUCAUUUUUAUU